GCUAAGGGACUAAAUUAAACGCGCGAAUUACAUAGAGGGGCUGGAAGGGAAAUUUUCCCUUCUCCUCUAAAACGGCGCCGCUCAAAGGGGACUGAAUUGAAACUUAAAAUAAAUUCAAGGGCCAAAUUUGAAAAAAAUAAAAAAAACUAAUGGUAGAAUAUUAAAAAGGCGGAGAAGCUAAAAGCGCAAUUUACCCCUCCGCAUAAAAACACGUGGACCCUAAGGCGGAUCGGGUCGGAUUCGGGUCGGGUACUCAAAACGACGCCGUUUUGGGCGUCUGAGGGUUUCCCCAAAACGGUACCAUUUUGGUACCCUAUAAAAGCCCCUAACUCAAAAAAAAUUCAUUUCAAAACAGAUUUAAAAAAAACAAAAAAAACCUUUAAAAAAACUCUCCCUCCCCCAGUCCGUCCGGCCUCCAAUCCGGUCAUCGGCCAGUCACCGGCCAUCGCACUGGCCGCCGAUCUCCGGCGCCGGCACCACUGUCUAUGGUAGCUGGAAAAGGGGAAAAACCCUUAUUCAGUUCCUUCAGUCUCUUUAGGCCCAAAUCUGGGCUCAAAAUCC
Molecule: long non-coding RNA, 561 nt
Filed under: Gossypium raimondii (Peruvian cotton)
Lineage: Eukaryota; Viridiplantae; Streptophyta; Magnoliopsida; Malvales; Malvaceae
Description: long non-coding RNA (GRAI_LNC002791)
Source: RNAcentral